UAAUGACAAUUACGGAAACCCUAAUAAGGAUACGACAAAAAAAACGAAAUUUGAUCUUCUUCUACGAUGCGGCCGUGAUGCGGGACUCCUGCGAUUCUUCAUUCGAUUUGAAACGGUUUAUUAAUGGCUGCGUGGUAAAUCGAAUUGAUCAUCCCUCCACGAUUCAUCUUCAAUGAUUUGUGAAAGGCGGUCUCUAAACAGUAUAAAUAGAGAGUUUUCUUUUCUGAUCUGAAGUCCGGCGGCAAGUGCUCAUCCGUCGUCGAGGCAAGGCUCUUGCGAUACUGGGAGGCCCAGAAUGUGAAACGCGGCGGUGACCUGAUGUGGGUCGACAUGCUCACGAUCGACAGCGACCAUAAUGCAAGCCACUAUCUAUGCUAACCGCCUUCCGAGAUUCCGGUCUAAGCUCGCCGCCGGGAAGAUGUUUUUCCUCUCCGGUUUCGAUGUUGCCCGAUGUACUCAGAAUUACAGGCUGACAGACUCUCCUUUCCUGAUCCAGUUUAGUGAUCUAACCGAUUUUGAUGAGCUAACAGAUCUGGUUUCUCCCUUGCCUAACUCCCUCUCCUAUUUUCAGUGAGUAUAUAUAAUUUUGAUUUCAGGGUUUGUACCGAUGCAACCACUGUUAGGUUGUACUAUUGAGUUUAAAAAUAAGUAUACAGGAACAUGUUUUCAGUUUCCUACGUAAAGUAUAUGUCUUUCUUUGAAACCUUAGUUCUUUUGAGCAUUCUUUCAGGGAAUGCAAUAGCAGAACUAGGGAGACUUUUGAUGUACGAAACAUCUCGAGAGUGGCUGGUUGAUUGUUGCUUUAUAGGGAGAUCUCACUGACAGCUUUAUUCUGUGAAUAUUUGAUAGGGAUCGAUAUACUGUCUCAGUUAAGACACAUGCAUUUGGUUCCUUAAAUCGGGUACUGCAAUGAGAACAUCAAGAUGAUCAUGGUGUACGAGUAUAUGGAAAAGGAACGGUUAAGAACCAUAUUAUGACUUGGAUAACCCAAAGUGAGCUGCAGACACAAGCUGGAGAUAUGCGUUGGUGCAGCUAGAGGGACUAUCUCCAUACAGGUUUUGCAAGAGCCAUCACAUACGCGAUGUGAAAUCUGCUAACGUUCUCUUGGAUGAGAAGUUCAUGGCCAAAGUUUCAGAAUUGGGACUCCCUAAGACUGGUCCAUAUCUUGACCAGACAUAUUGAUUCUUAAGGUACUAUGCGGGACACUACUCAUUGAUCCAUAUAUUUCAAGAAAGUGAAUUGAUCAAAUGUGCGAAAAAGUUGGUGAAGAAAGCAAAGAUAGAAGAGAUCAUAGACCAGUUUCUUGAUUGGAAAUAAAAGCUUGAAGAGAUUAGGUUGUACUGUGAGUUAGCAGAGGAGUGUUUAGUCCAACAAUGGGAAGUUAUUGUGGAAAUUAGAGUCUAUACUUCAGGUCGAAGUGAAAGACGAUAAAACAACAAUAGUGCAUGCUUAUCCAAGGUUAGCAUCGUGGGAUCAACGGUGCAUUUUAGUGUGGAUGGAAUGGGAUAUAUGGCAAGGUGUCUCAAUGAGAAGUUUUUGCUCAAAUAGUGGAAAUAGAAGAGUAUUUAAAUUACUAUAGUGUUGUCUGUACAAGAGGGAGGAGAGACUACAUUACUUUUUUUUUAUAUCCGUUGCUACAGAUUAGUGAUUUUUUUUUUGAGAAAUGCUACAUAUUAUUGUUAUA
Molecule: long non-coding RNA, 1684 nt
Organism: Brassica oleracea var. oleracea
Lineage: Eukaryota; Viridiplantae; Streptophyta; Magnoliopsida; Brassicales; Brassicaceae
Exons: 6
Source: RefSeq, a predicted model, not a curated record